GAUGAACGCUGGCGGCGUGCCUAAUACAUGCAAGUCGAGCGAACGGACGAGAAGCUUGCUUCUCUGAUGUUAGCGGCGGACGGGUGAGUAACACGUGGAUAACCUACCUAUAAGACUGGGAUAACUUCGGGAAACCGGCGCUAAUACCGGAUAAUAUUUUGAACCGCAUGGUUCAAAAAUGAAAGUCGGUGUUGCUGUCACUUAUAGCUGGAUCCGCGCUUCAUUGGCUAGUUGGUAAGGUAACGGGUUACCAAGGCAACUAUGCAUAGCCGAGCUGAGCGGGUGGUCGGCCACACUGGAGCUGAGACACGGUCCAGACGCCUACGGGAGGCAGCAGUAGGGAAUCGGCCGCAGCAGGCGGAAGCCUGGCGGAGCGACGCCGCGUGAGUGAUGAAGGUCUUCGGAUCGUAAAACUCUGUUAUUAGGGAAGAACAUAUGUGUAAGUAACUGUGCACAUCUUGACGGUACCUAAUCAGAAAGCCACGGCUAACUACGUG
Molecule: ribosomal RNA, 497 nt
Filed under: uncultured bacterium
Lineage: Bacteria
Description: partial 16S ribosomal RNA
Rfam family: Bacterial small subunit ribosomal RNA
Source: RNAcentral